RNAcentral lists this ribosomal RNA (1779 nucleotides) under uncultured Ruminococcus sp. RNAcentral's name for it is "bacterial LSU rRNA". It matches the Rfam family "Bacterial large subunit ribosomal RNA", at positions 1068 to 2925 of the family's 2925-position model. The record is from RNAcentral. Lineage: Bacteria; Bacillati; Bacillota; Clostridia; Eubacteriales; Oscillospiraceae.
AAAGGAUGUGGGGUUGCAUAAACAACCAGGAUGUUGGCUUAGAAGCAGCCACUCAUUAAAAGAGUGCGUAAUAGCUCACUGGUCGAGUGACCCUGCGCCGAAAAUUCAACGGGGCUAAACAAUGUACCGAAGCUUGGGAUUCUAAAGUAAUUUAGAGUGGUAGGAGAGCGUCGAAUAAGGGGUGAAGUCAGAGCGGAAGCGCUGGUGGACUUUAUUCGAGUGAGAAUGCCGGAAUGAGUAGCGAGAAUUAUGUGAGAAUCAUAAUGGCCGAAAAUCUAAGGUUUCCUGAGGAAGGUUCGUCCGCUCAGGGUAAGCCGGGGGCUAAGGCGAGGCGGAGACGCGUAGCCGAUGCACAUACGGUUGAAAUUCCGUAGCCACCGAAAGAUUUAAAUACAGGGACGCUUUAGAAGUGAUGUUGCCGGGCGAUGGUUGACCCGGUCGUAAGGGAUCGAAAAUGAGUAGAGAAGUCAUCAUGGAAAGAGACAAGAAAAGCUGUAUGGAUAUCUUAGGUGCCCGUACCGCAAACCGACACAGGUAGAUAGGAAGAAGAUUCUAAGGCCAACGGGAGAAGGGUUGUUAAGGAACUCGGCAAGUUGACCCCGUAACUUAGGGAUAAGGGGUGCUCAAGUGAUUGAGCCGCAGAGAAUAGGCCCAGGCGACUGUUUAGCAAAAACACAGGUCUCUGCUAAAUCGAAAGAUGACGUAUAGGGGCUGACACCUGCCCGGUGCCGGAAGGUUAAGAGGAGAUGUGAGAGCAUUGAAUUGAAGCCCCGGUAAACGGCGGCCGUAACUAUAACGGUCCUAAGGUAGCGAAAUUCCUUGUCAGGUAAGUUCUGACCCGCACGAAAGGUGUAACGAUCUGGGCACUGUCUCAACAACCCGCCCGGCGAAAUUGUAGUACCGGUGAAGAUGCCGGUUACCCGCGACUAGACGGAAAGACCCCAUGGAGCUUUACUGUAGCCUAAUAUUGGAUUUCGGUAUUUCACGUACAGGAUAGGUGGGAGACUGGGAAGCACAGGCGUCAGCUUGUGUGGAGUCGACCUUGGGAUACCACUCUUGGAGUGCUGGAAUUCUAACCUGCGGCUUUGAAGCAAGUCGGGGGACAUUGUUAGGUGGGCAGUUUGACUGGGGCGGUCGCCUCCUAAAGAGUAACGGAGGCGCUCAAAGGUUCGCUCUGCAUGGAUGGAAACCAUGCGUCAGAGUGUAAACGCAAAAGCGAGCCUAACUGCGAGAAUGACGGUUCGAGCAGUAACGAAAGUUGGAGUUAGUGAUCCGGCGGUAUGUGAAUGGAAAUGCCGUCGCUCAACGGAUAAAAGCUACCCUGGGGAUAACAGGCUGAUCUCCCCCAAGAGUCCACAUCGACGGGGAGGUUUGGCACCUCGAUGUCGGCUCAUCGCAUCCUGGGGCUGAAUUCGGUCCCAAGGGUUUGGCUGUUCGCCAAUUAAAGCGGUACGCGAGCUGGGUUCAGAACGUCGUGAGACAGUUCGGUCCCUAUCUGUCGUGGGCGUAGGAUAUUUGCAAGGAGCUGUCCCUAGUACGAGAGGACCGGGAUGGACGCACCUCUGGUGCACCAGUUGUCACGCCAGUGGCACAGCUGGGCAGCUAUGUGCGGAACGGAUAAACGCUGAAGGCAUCUAAGCGUGAAGCCGCCCUUAAGAUAAGAUAUCCCUUCUGUUUACAGAGUAAGACCCCUUGAAGACUACAAGGUUGAUAGGCUCAAAGUGUAAGCACGGUGACGUGUUUAGCUAGCGAGUACUAAUCGGUCGAGGGCUUAACCUU